UGUAGCCCCAAAAAGGGUGAGCAGUGCCCAGCUGCUGAGAGAGGAGGGACUGUGCAAACAAUACUGCUGGCACCAAUAAGAAGCGCUGGGACUGACUGAGCUUUGCUCCCCUUUGGGAUCAGACCGAUUGUCACAGCUAAGUGGGACACAUUUCUCAUGCUACCGGGGCCUCUGAAAUGGAGGGAUUUGUGUUGUGUACUGAGAUUCAUGUGUUGGGCACUGGCACUGCCUUAGGUUCAGCAACCACUCGCAUUUAAUCUUUCUGUCAAAAGCUGACAAAGCUUUUUCCCUAGGCCCAUGUUUAUCUCUCCACCUGGAGAAGUUGAUGUAACACGUAGAUAAGUCAUCCCUCUUACUCAGGACGGAGAAGGGAAACUGCAAUCAAAUGAAAAAACUAUAUUUGGAAUCUGACAAGAGCAAGAAUCAAAAGAAAUGCUGAGUCCCCAGCCUUGGACUGCAUAAACAUCCUCCCUGAUGUGUGAGCAGAUAUCCGUACAUGUGGGUAUCUGCCACUGUCCAUCCUGCAAGGCAGCAGAAAUGCACCACUACAUCACAAACCUCAUGUUCCAGCAAUUAAGUCACCUCCUGGAAAUAUUCUGGGAUUAAAAUGGACACAAAUUUUGGCCUUUACUGUCAGCUGUAAAGAGAAGUUUGGAUAUGCUGUGAGAAGGAGCUUGCUGAUACAUGACACAAAGCAGCAUUUUUCAUGCCCUGGAAUGGCUUCUGCCUGCAGGCAUAUGGAAGACCAUGGUCUGCUCCUGUAGGACCCUUGGAAGAAAGCAAAUUUAAACUCUGCCAAGGAAUUGCCUAGAUUCUCUGUGUAACACUUUACCCUAGCAAUUGAAUAUAUUUAGGGGACACAGAUCAGGACUUGUGGAAAAGUGCAAAACACAGUGUGGAAAACAUUGAAAAAUGGCCCAUUCUAUGAGGAUUUAAAGAACCGUAAGGAGGAGCCAGUCUGCAGGGUGAUACCAUUUCCUCCUCAGGAAUGGAGGGGAAGGUUAUCUUUGAUCUGAUCCACUUUCAUGAUCAGAAGAGGGAUUUUGAAGCACUUUCACCCAGCUCCGACCGAGUGAAAUUCUUACAGAAGGUAGAAGAAAGGGAAGACAUCUUUUGCUGACAUUGGUCUGGAGACUAAUAGAGGGGGAUGGGGCUCUAGCAGGAAGCAGCUUGUAAAAAUUCCUGCAGCAGUAUCAGCAUUGCACUUUACUCCCUCCUGAGCAGUUUUUUGGCCCAAAGAGGAUCAGAGCUGUUUGCUGAGCUGGGCUGAGCCGCAUGAACAUCCCUGGCACAGUCAGGCGGUGGGACUGACUGCAGCGGGUCUGCUCACCACGGGGGAAAGGACACCAGAACAAAGCCUCGCUGUCCCGAAGGGAAAGUAGGAGAUGCACCGGCACUAUUUCAUCCUCUGCAGCUGGAGCACAUCACAGAGGCUGGCUAACAAUACUUGACAGAGGCUCAGAGCAGAGCAUGAGUUAGAUCUCGCCUGUGGCUGAUGUGAGAAGUGGAAUUAAAAUGUGGUUUCUUGAUCUGGAAUUCUCGUCAGAUAAUCAAUUCUUGUGGGAAAUACAAUAAGCCCUUUGAUGACUCAUUAUUCCAGAUCUUUUUGAUGAUAUUUCAAGUGGUCCAAGGGAUUUAUC
RNAcentral lists this long non-coding RNA (1640 nucleotides) under Cyanistes caeruleus (blue tit). RNAcentral describes it as "lncRNA (ENSCCEG00000002361.1)". Lineage: Eukaryota; Metazoa; Chordata; Aves; Passeriformes; Paridae. The record is from RNAcentral.